This 442-nucleotide ribosomal RNA is filed under the name uncultured bacterium. Its description in RNAcentral is "partial 16S ribosomal RNA". It matches the Rfam family "Bacterial small subunit ribosomal RNA", at positions 338 to 795 of the family's 1533-position model. The record is from RNAcentral.
CCUACGGGUGGCAGCAGUAGGGAAUCUUUCACAAUGGGCGAAAGCCUGAUGGAGCAACGCCGCGUGCAGGAUGAAGGCCUUCGGCUUGUAAACUGCUUUUAUAAGCGAGAAAUAUGAUGGUAACUUAUGAAUCAGUAUCGGCUAACUACGUGUCAGCAGCCGAGGUCAUACGUCGUAUCCGAGCCUUAUCCGGAGCGACUGUGUGUAAAGAGUUGCGUAGGUGGGAUAAUAAGUAGCUAGGGAAAUCUGGUGGCUCAACCAUUCUGACUAUUAGCUAAACUGUUAAGCUCGAGACCGUUAGGGGUAACUGGAAUUUCUAGUGUAGGAGUGAAAUCCGUAGAUAUUAGAAGGAACACCAAUAGCGUAGGCAGGUUGCUGGGACGGUUCUGACACUAAGGCACGAAAGCGUAGGGAGCAAACGGGAUUAGAUACCCUUGUAGUC